This 401-nucleotide ribosomal RNA is filed under the name uncultured Actinomycetes bacterium. Its description in RNAcentral is "bacterial SSU rRNA". It matches the Rfam family "Bacterial small subunit ribosomal RNA", at positions 9 to 402 of the family's 1533-position model. The record is from RNAcentral. Lineage: Bacteria; Bacillati; Actinomycetota; Actinomycetes.
GAGUUUGAUCCUGGCUCAGGAUGAACGCUGGCGGCGUGCCUAACGCAUGCAAGUCGAGCGAGGGCCACCCGGUGGCAACACCGGGUUGGUGCCUAGCGGCGAACGGGUGAGUAACACGUGGGUAACCUGCCCCCGACACCGGGAUAAGCCUGGGAAACUGGGUCUAAUACCGGAUAUGAGCCUCCUCCGCAUGGUGGAGGCUGGGAAAGGGUCCCCGGUCGGGGAUGGGCCCGCGUCCUAUCAGCUUGUUGGUGGGGUAACGCCUACCAAGGCGACGACGGGUAGCCGGCCUGAGAGGGUGUACGGCCACACUGGGACUGAGACACGGCCCAGACUCCUACGGGAGGCAGCAGCGGGGAAUAUUGCGCAAUGGGCGAAAGCCUGACGCAGCGACGCCGCGU